GGGGGUGUAGCUCAUAUGGUAGAGCGCUCGCUUUGCAUGUGAGAGGCACAGGGUUCGAUUCCCUGCACCUCCA
RNAcentral lists this transfer RNA (73 nucleotides) under Cucumis melo (muskmelon). It matches the Rfam family "tRNA". Rfam says of the family: Transfer RNA (tRNA) molecules are approximately 80 nucleotides in length. Their secondary structure includes four short double-helical elements and three loops (D, anti-codon, and T loops). Lineage: Eukaryota; Viridiplantae; Streptophyta; Magnoliopsida; Cucurbitales; Cucurbitaceae. The record is from Rfam by way of RNAcentral.